Molecule: transfer RNA, 82 nt
Filed under: Streptomyces spiramenti
Lineage: Bacteria; Bacillati; Actinomycetota; Actinomycetes; Kitasatosporales; Streptomycetaceae
Description: Streptomyces sp. ventii tRNA-Leu
Rfam family: tRNA
About the family: Transfer RNA (tRNA) molecules are approximately 80 nucleotides in length. Their secondary structure includes four short double-helical elements and three loops (D, anti-codon, and T loops).
Source: RNAcentral
GCCCGGGUGGUGGAAGGCAGACACGGUGAGCUUAAAACUCGCUGACCUCUUGGUCGUCCCGGUUCGAGUCCGGGUCCGGGCA